Molecule: non-coding RNA, 327 nt
Organism: Peromyscus maniculatus bairdii (prairie deer mouse)
Lineage: Eukaryota; Metazoa; Chordata; Mammalia; Rodentia; Cricetidae
Source: RefSeq, a predicted model, not a curated record
CCGUGGCUGCGGUGUUAAUGGAAAUCAAGGUUUCUGCAUGCUAAGCAGGCUAGGGCUCUUAUACCCCAGUGCAAUUACUCUUGCAUAAUGACUGUCUACAUCUUGCUUGCUUCAGAACCCGGGAUAGACCUUGCCUGGACCUUCCCGUGACCGGGAUGGGAGCAGGCAUGUGAGCUCGGUGUCGAUCGGUAGACGUUGAGAAGUCGCCUGAGGAUCCGUUGAAAAGAUCUUGUUCUCCAAGGAAAGAGAAAAGCCAUGUAUGUCCUUCUCUUCGAUUUCACCUCACAUGCCUUCGAAUAAAGGGUAUUUCCUCUAGUGGUGACAUCA